RNAcentral lists this long non-coding RNA (2239 nucleotides) under Mus musculus (house mouse). RNAcentral describes it as "long non-coding RNA chr12:35140891-35143130". Lineage: Eukaryota; Metazoa; Chordata; Mammalia; Rodentia; Muridae. The record is from RNAcentral.
AUUUAUUUGUGAUAUUCCUGUAUCAUUUAUAUAGACUUAUUUGUCCUUUUUUUCUUCUGAGAAAGAGAGCCUGUGACCAAUGGGCUUUUCUGCCUAGGAGAUGAUGAGGGCAGUUUUGUCACUGGGUCACAAGUCUCUUUAAGAACGCCUAAUUAUUAGCCAAUGCCUAGAUAUAUUCCUCCAUGCUAAUUGUGGAUGUAGAGGAUGGAUAAGAUGAAUGUGUAAGUUUUCUCAUCUGUUGUUACCUAUUUUCUUACAAUUUUACUUGCUUCUUUUCUUCUUUUUCUUACUAUUUCUGAGAUGAUGUCUCAUGCUGUAGCUCAGACUGGUCUGAUUCUUACUGUGUAGCCCAUGAUGGUCUAAACUCAGUGCAGUCCUACUUUAGCCUCCCAAACUCUGGAUUGUAGACAUGAGCAUAAGCCAGUGCCUGACUUUUCUUAUACUUAAAUUAGAUUUUCAGUGUUUAGUUUUCCAUCUUAAAUUAGAAAUAUGCCACAUUGCUAUCACUUUCUCCCAAUAUGUGGUUAAAUUUGGUGGCAUAAUUAAAUGACACUAUAGAAAAAUUAAAAGAAACCAUGACUUAGACUAUUUCUCAUGCACCUUUAUAAUAAAGCAGAUUGUGCUGUGGCCCAGCACAGCUGCAGGAACUCUUUAGUCACAUAGGUCCUUAUGUGAAAAGUAUGGAGCGGUGCUAGGCAUUCUUGCUUGUUGCUUUACGUUCCUAAAGCUUAUUUUAGAGGUACCAACAAACAAAACAAGCAAAUAAAACUUAAUGUGUUAGUGAUACGUUCUAAAGAAAAAAGAUAGUACACUAGAAGAAGUUAUGUCACAUGAGUUCCAGCUACUGAGAGGAUUGUGAAGACCGAAAGAGGUUGAUGGUAGAUGAAAACCAUAUGAUUUUAUAUAUACUUAAUCCUGUGUUUUGUAGUAGGGUCAUAGAUUUUUGCUAAAUUAAAGUGUAUCUCUGCUUAAAUGAUGACCUUUUGGAAGUUGCAAGUUUUUUUUCAUUUUUUAAAAUUUUUUAAAAAUUUGCAAAUAGCAGAUGGGAUGGAUCCUUAAGUUAGGACAGUCUCUUGAUGGCCUUUCCUUCAGUCUCUGUUCCACUCUUUGUCCCUGUAUUUCCUUUUGACAGGAAUAAUUCUGGAUUAAUGGUUUUUUUUUGUUUUUUUUUUAAUAUUUUUUAUUACAUAUUUUCCUCAAUUACAUUUCCAAUGCUAUCCCCAAAGUCCCCCCCACUCCCCCCCACUUCCCUACCCACCCAUUCCCAUUUUUUUGGCCCUGGCAUUCCCCUGUACUGGGGCAUAUACAGUUUGCGUGUCCAAUGGGCCUCUCUUUCCAGUGAUGGCCGACUAGGCCAUCUUUUGAUACAUACGCAGCUAGAGUCAAGAGCUCCGGGGUACUGGUUAGUUCAUAAUGUUUUUGAGGUGGGUGGGUGGCCCCAUCCCUCAACUGGGGGCCAUGCCUAUCCACUGGUUUUUCAGCUAAUGUCCUCCCUGUUGGGUCCUGGAAACCUCUUGGGUCUCUGGGUCUUUCUAGUGGCUACCACCAGUUUCCCCUCCUGGAUCCAUCCCAUCUGCUGAUACCAAACCCAGACACUAUUGCUGAUGCCAAGAAUGACUUAACUGACAGGAGCCUGAUAGAGCUGUCCCCUGAGAGGGUACCAAUACAGAUGUGGAGGUACACAGCCAAACACUGGCCUGAGCGCAGGGAACCCAAUGGGGAAGUUAGGGCAAGGACUAUAGGAGCUGAAGGGGUUUUCAGCCCUAUAGGAAUAACAACAGUAUCAACCAACCAGACCCCACAAAGCUCCCAGGGACUAAACCACCAACCAAAGAAUACACAGGAAGUGCGCAUGGCUCUAGCUGCAUAUGUAGCAGAUGAUUGCUUUAUCUGGCAACAUUGGGAGGAGAGCCCCUUAGUCCUUUGGAGACUUGAUGACCCGGGAUAGGGGAAUGCUAGGCCGCUGAGGCAGGAAUGGGUGGCUGGGUGGAUGUGGGAGCACCCUCAUAGAAGCAGCUGGGAGGGAGGAGGGGAUGGGGGCUUGUGGAAGGGAACUAGGAAGGGGGAUAACAUUUUAAAUGUAAAUAAAUAAAAUAACCAAUACAUCCAAAAAUGCUAAUAAGCAUAAUACAUACACCAAAAUUCACCAUAUCGAGCCUAUGCACUUCAGUGAAUUUCUAUACAGUUAGAUAAUUGUUCUUUCACUAUUGAAUAUAUUUUUGUGUAUUUAUUUACCACC